Long non-coding RNA from Marmota monax (woodchuck), 1475 nucleotides. RefSeq lists it as uncharacterized. The transcript is spliced from 3 exons. The record is from RefSeq and is a predicted model, not a curated record. NCBI's taxonomy places the organism in Eukaryota, Metazoa, Chordata, Mammalia, Rodentia, Sciuridae.
UGGACUGACCCUUGUAAAUGAGUUUAACUAGCUUUUUCACAUGGAUAGAAACUGUCAGUUUUCUGUCAUCUACGCUGCCCUCAGCAGUGCUUCAUGUUCCUGUGUCGGGAGACACAGGGAUUUUUUUCCUGAUUUCCUACAACCUCUGGAAAGACCUUCUCCUUUCCUAAGAAGCAUCUUGCUGUGAUGGACACCAAACCCAGAGUCUCUUCCUCCCUUCACCUUUUGCUGUUGUCAAGGUCCUCAUCUUCUCUCUUCUCAAAUGUCUGACAAAUGCCAAUUCUAGUCCACAUUCUUCUGAGUGUGACGACUCUCAAGCUUCUCAAGAAAGGCUCCCUGGAUGGAGAGCAAUGACACUCGGUGUUGGGAGCCACAUGGGACAUUCCGGGAGAAGACACAUCUGAGCAGGUUGCCCUGCAGGGUGGCAGAGGUCAGGUGGGAUUAUCUGCCCUCAGUUCUCCUUCCUCCACCUGUUCCAACCCAACCCCUGGGGUGUAACUGGCAGUUUCCCUGCCCCCAGGCUCAGACCAGACCUGUUGAAGGUGCCAGAAGCCCAGACCUGAGCUUCUGGUGCCUAGAACCAAAGGUCAAGGCUCACAGCUUUUUCCUCUGUCCAGCUCUCAGUACUGGGAAGAUGCCCAGCUAGAAGACCCAAGGCACACUUGGGACAUUCACCAAAAGCAAAGAUGUAUUUCUUCAUUCGCCAUUCCCUCCUCAUUCUUCAAAAACAAAACAAACAUUAAAAAACUAAAGCAAAAAUAGUAUCUGAUUAAUAAUAAAGAUUGCCUCUCUUUAACCUAUUCUACCCAUCUUACAAGUUAAGAGAUCAUAGAAUUUUAGACACGAAGAGAAUGAGUGUUUUCCAGCAUGGGGCCAAUAAUUACAGUGAUUUCCUAUUCCUUGGAUCUCUGAUUGCCAAUUUCUUUAGAUGGCUUCGAUGUCAUUCUACAGCUCGAGACCCAGCUUCGCUGAUGCUUUUGAACUUCUGCAAUUGACCUGCAGCCCUGUCUGGCCUAAGUGGACAGUCCAUGUCACAUUCCUCAGCCAACUACCUGUUAUGUGCAAGGAAAUGCAGGCAGAUAGCUGGACUUGCAGCUGUUAAAAGGAAUGAUCAAAGUACCAGUGUCCUGAUGAAUGUGCUCUCUGGGAAGGGACGGAGAAAGGACCUGCUUAGUGGAUGCUCCUAUUUCUAAAGUAACCCUCAAAAGGAAUUUCCUAACCUUCAUCCUGGGUGCGGGGUAUUACAGUGAGCACCUAGACCUCACUGUUUCCACUUAGUGUAGCAAGACACAAAGGGACUGGGAGAUAUCAGGAACAGAGAUUGCGAUGCAAACAGCAAUGAGCUGACAAACUUCUAGGAAUUUCAGCAGUAAGAGAGAAAGAAAAUGUCUUUGUGAGUCUCUGGACACCUUAAACCUCUUCACUCAACUCUGGUCAUUUUAUUUUUUCAUGAGUAAAAAAGUACCUUAUAGUCA